GGCGGGGUGCGCGCGGCUCGGGUCUUGGGACGAUCGGAGCUUGUGCCGCGCGCGCUGAGCUCGGUGCAUACCUCGAGCCCGUGCACAGGUGCAUGCCGAGAGCCUGCUGCACCCGCUCCCGGAGCCCGGCCCCCGAGCAGAGCUGGCCUAGCCGCCCGCCCGCCCCUUCCCGGCGCCGAGAGCGCGCGGCGCGCAGAGGCUGCCAGUUAAAGUGCAGGGGGCCAGGGCCCCGCCGCCUUCUCUGUGCGCCCGGCUCCUUCGCUCCUGCGGCGGGUCGGACCCCGUGGCCCAGCGGCCCAGCGGCCCCAGCGGCCCAGGAGGAGCAGCUGAAAGGCGGCGGCCGCCCGACGACUGCGGGCCGGAGCGUAGUGGGUCGGGAGGACCUGGAGCCCCCUUUCCACAGCCGUGAGCCUCAGAAAGAAAAGGGAAGGGACGGGGCCUCCCAAACCUUGUCUACCUCUCCGAGACAGCUGUUGGCUGGAACUUAGUUACGUGGCUUAGUGAUAGGAGUCACCACCCCACCGCUCAGGCUUUCUGUGACUUCACCUACAGACUCCACAGAGCAAAAGUAUUCUGCCUGAGCCCAGGGGCCAGAGGGUGUGGCCUUGUCUUCUCCAUCCAGAUACCAUCUUUCAGAAGGCAGUGACUCCUUUCAGAUUUUCCACUGCAACUGUUUGCUGUGUGCCAGGGAAAAGCGAGUUGUCACACUUGUCCGUGGAUAAGAGAGACUGGGCUGGAAGCAUGUGGCGGGUCCUUGGAGGCUGGCAGCCAGGGCAUGUGGGCCCACGUGGAGCCCUGGCGUGGGCUGUGCUGGACCAGCUGUGGCCCCGGGGCAGCCGUGCUGUGGCCAGUGCAGGCUCCAUGGGCCAGGACCAGGAGUUCAGCUACGUGGUGGUGGGCGCCGGCUCCGCUGGCUGCGUGCUGGCCAAUCGGCUAACGGAGGACCGGGAUCAGACGGUGCUGCUGCUGGAGGCUGGGCCCAAGGACUUGCUUGUGGGCAGCAAGCGGCUCCUGUGGAAGAUCCAUAUGCCCGCAGCCCUCGUAGCCAAUCUGUGUGAUGACAAGUACAACUGGUACUACCACACGGAGCCGCAGCCUGGCAUGGAUGGCCGUGUACUGUUCUGGCCGCGAGGUCGGGUCUGGGGGGGCUCCUCGUCCCUCAACGCCAUGGUCUACAUCCGCGGACACGCCGAGGACUACAAUCGCUGGCACCUCCAAGGAGCGGAGGGUUGGGACUAUUCGCACUGCCUGCCCUACUUCCGCAAGGCGCAGAGCCACGAGCUCGGUGCUGACAGGUACCGCGGUGGUGACGGCCCGCUGCACGUGACUCGGGGCAAGACCAACCACCCCUUGCACCAGGCCUUCUUGCAGGCAACACAGCAGGCUGGUUACCCCUUCACUGAAGACAUGAACGGCUUCCAGCAGGAGGGCUUCGGCUGGAUGGACAUGACCAUUCACCAAGGCAAGCGCUGGAGUGCAGCCUGUGCCUACCUGCACCCAGCACUGAGCCGCCCCAACCUCAGGGCUGAGACCCAGACACUUGUGAGCAGAGUGCUGUUUGAGGGCACACGUGCAGUGGGCGUGGAGUACUUCAAGAACGGUCAGAGCCACAAGGCGUAUGCCAGAAGGGAGGUGAUCCUGAGUGGGGGUGCCAUCAACUCGCCACAGUUGCUCAUGCUCUCUGGUGUUGGGAAUGCAGAUGACCUCAAGAAACUGGGCAUCCCUGUCGUGUGCCACCUGCCUGGGGUUGGCCAGAACCUGCAAGACCACCUGGAGAUCUACAUUCAGCAGGCGUGCACACGCCCCAUUACCCUCCACUCAGCCCAAAAGCCCCUGAGGAAGGUCAGCAUUGGUCUGGAGUGGCUCUGGAGAUUCACAGGGGAUGGAGCCACAGCCCAUCUGGAAACUGGUGGGUUCAUCCGCAGUCAUCCUGGUGUCCCCCACCCAGACAUCCAGUUUCACUUCCUGCCAUCACAAGUGAUUGACCAUGGGCGGAAACCCACCCAGCAAGAAGCUUACCAGGUGCAUGUGGGGACCAUGAGGGGCACAAGUGUGGGCUGGCUCAAACUGAGAAGUGCCAACCCUCAGGACCACCCUGUGAUCCAUCCCAACUACUUGUCAACAGAAACUGAUAUUGAGGACUUCCGCCAGUGUGUGAAGCUGAGCAGAGAAAUUUUUGCACAGGAAGCCUGGGCUCCCUUCCGGGGCAAAGAGCUACUGCCAGGAAGCCACGUCCAGUCAGAUAAAGAGAUAGAUGCCUUUGUGCGGGCGAAAGCUGAUAGUGCUUACCACCCCUCGUGCACCUGUAAGAUGGGCCAGCCCUCUGAUCCCACUGCUGUGGUAGACCCUCAAACCAGGGUCCUUGGGGUGGAAAACCUCAGGGUUGUUGAUGCUUCCAUCAUGCCCAGCGUGGUCAGCGGCAACCUGAAUGCCCCCACAAUCAUGAUCGCAGAGAAAGCAGCUGACAUUAUCAAGGGGCAGCCUGUACUCUGGGACAAGGAUGUUCCUGUCUACAAGCCCCGGACUCUGGCCACCCAGCGUUAAGGCAGCCCCUGCCCGAGGAUGACAGAGGAGCCCAUGUAAAGCCCAGAGGACCAACGAACACAGCCUGUGCCCCAGGUGCUAUUUCCUAAAACUGUCGAGAACCUUGGAACUCAGAGACUCCCUGGCAGAGCAAUGGGAUGAACAGCACAUCUUUCUGUUAACAGAAAAGCAAGCCUUGACAAUUCUAAUGGUCCCCCAGCUGUCAGUCCCAGGGUGUGCAGCCCCAAUGCAUGUGUUCGCAUGAAGCUUCAGCCCUCAUUCAGUUGCAUGUAACAGCCCUCCAAGAGAACACAUCGCAUAGCAGCGUUGUGAAAGGCAACAGGAUACUGGAUGGACCCUGACACUCUAACCUCAUAGGUCACCACAGUGCCCCCCCUCCACCCAGAUCCCCUGCCCCAGUACCUCUUAUUUCUUAAGCAUCCCUGAGGAGUGGGAGUGGAUGCACUUCAUUCACCUGUGCCGUGACUUCUGUGUUAGAGAUACAGAAACAGCUUGCACGGGCAGCUGAGGAAGUCAGACCAGCGGAUGCCAUGGGGCUGACUAGCCAGUUGCACCUGUUCUGUAACUAACUGACCAGAGGAUAAUCAAAGUCAAAGCAAACCAAAGACAGUCACAACUCAUGUGGAUAAGAGGUACAAUAUGAAACUCGAAGAACUCUUGCCCAAAGAAAAGACUGCAAAUAGUCAUCUUGCCAUCUUAUGUAAAGAUAGGUUUAUAGUGACUCAAAAUAUUUUAGAAAAAUUUCUGACGUGUCAAAUUGUUUUGAACUCAAAAGUUUAUCCCCAAAAGAUUUUCACUGAAUUAAGUGAGAAUGGGUUCUAAUCCUUCUAGUUCUGUUUAGCCCGAGUAAAAAUACUAACUUCUAGAUUUUGGUGGGAAACUACAAUUGUUAGGACCCAUGGAUAUUGCUGCAGUUCAAAUACGGUACAAUAAUUACAAAAUAUAGACCAUCUCUUUACAAAUACAAAUUGUAUAUUACAAGUCAUGUACAGUAAAUCUAUAAUUUUUAAACAAACUAGUGUAUCUAAGUUUACCUGGUUUGCAAGUGCGUUACUCUUCCAGUUUACAGUUGCCCUUAGUGUGAUAGUCAGAACUGACUACCGAGUGAUGGUCUCUUAUGUAAACUGGCAUCGCAUUAACAGAAAACCUUGUCUGUCCAGUCCUGCCCCCCUCGCCGUGACCGCUGGUGGCUGGUGGCUGGGUUCUGAUGCAUACCAUUCAGAACAGCUGCACAGGAACCAGGAAGCAGUAUGUUUGGGGGAGGGGUUUAAAAAUGGAUAUGCUGGGCCCAGUGAGCAAUAUGCUAGACCAGUGGCUGAGGUAAUGACAUAGGUGUGGUGAUUGUCAUCACCUUUAACCUGCCUGCCAUGCCUUCAGGUGAGUGGGCAGGGGCGUGUGCCCUGGGGGUGAGACUUGGACUCCUGGCAACUCAUCUGGCUUCCAAACCGGCCAGGCUGCCUGAGCCUUAUCCAUCUUCUCGAGGGGCCAGACAUGCCGUUUUCUGUGACUGGGCCUGACCACAUGCUCAGAACCUGUUCCUACCAGGUUUAUGGCUUCCUUGAGGCGUGAUACCACUUGUACAAAAGUAUAAUUG
Nannospalax galili (Upper Galilee mountains blind mole rat) is the source of this 4138-nucleotide RNA transcript. It is a transcript of the gene named choline dehydrogenase, with no coding region annotated. The record is from RefSeq and is a predicted model, not a curated record. Lineage: Eukaryota; Metazoa; Chordata; Mammalia; Rodentia; Spalacidae. The transcript is spliced from 10 exons.